GAAGGUGGAUGUAGCCAUGUGCUGUGACUCAGGAGCUGUGAGUGGAAGUGAAGUGUGUCACCUCAAGACAGAAGAAUUGGGAACCAUUGACACUGGCCACCCUCUCCUCCAUCUCUUAGAGCAGUUGACAAGUUCCACAUGGAGGUUGCUCCUUUAUCCUGUUGGUGGAUGAGGGAAUGUGAAGCACAAGGCCCGGCAGAGCCAUCUUGGACGUGCAGCAUGAGCAGGAUAAGAACCUUCAGUGUUGUAAAUUUCCAUUGUCUCGGGCUGUUUGUUACUUACAGUGAUAUCUAGCCCAUCGUAGCAGGCAUGCACCAUCUAUUUCAUGCUCCGUAAAGCAGACUAGCCUAUCCUCCAAACAUGACUGGUUGUCAGACACAUGUAAGUUUCAGUUUCAGCUCUUCCUCUUAUUGACUGCAACCUCGGGCAUUUGACUUUGAGUCUCUGAGCCUCAGUUUUGUUUUUGUAAAAUGGUUUGCUAUGCUAUCUCAGGUUGAGGAGAGAAUUUAAUGAAGUAAAAAUGCAUGUAAAGCAUUGAGCCCAGGGCCUGGCACACACAAAGAAAAAGCCAGUACUGUGACUGCCUAAGCUUCCUCCUGCAUGGCCACCCUAUGAGACAUGGGGCAGGAGCACUGGGAGCUGUUCAGGGGCACCAGACCCCUUCCAUCUGCCCUCACUCGCCUUCCUUGGGGACUUGCAUGAGACUGUCACUGACUUUACAUGCUGCUGCAGCACCUUGGUCAGCUGGUCCUUGUCACGGGACAGAAACUGUGGGGUCAGGACAAUAAACACCUUCACCACCUGCAGAACGAGGGCAGAGACUUACGGUACUGGGGGAUCCACAGGGAAGACACUGGGACAUCCUAGAAGCUGGGAAAUCAAAAGAAGAGUGAAGAAUGCAACCACACAUGGAUGGAUGGUCUUUUCCAUAACACAGUGCCUGCCUCUCAGGCUCCAAUUCCAAAGAGAAUCAUUUACAAGUUAAUUUCUGUCUCCCGGGUUGAUCACUGUCCCUAACCAUCACUUGCUGCCCCUCAAAGAAAUUGUCUACAUUCCCUAUUUCCUCCUUACCCUAUGAAAAAGGGUAUGUCAGCUUCUGUAGCCCAUUGGGAGGUUGGGAAAUCACUGACUCUCCCCUGCCCCAGACAUUAAUACAUCUGUAUGCCUUUUCAUCUAUUAAAAAUAAGUGAAAACUCAGUAAGACACAUUUUACCCCAAGGUAUUAGCAAACCUUUAAAAAUCUGACAAUUUCAAGCCUUUCCAGUGAAUCAUAGUGUUACUGGUGGUGAAUCCAUAGGGGGCUGCAGCAACCUCAAUUCUCGCCUCCUCAGCAGAAAUAAUUUGACCAAGGGCAUAAUAAGGCAGAAUGAGAGACCGAGGCAAGUUUUAGAGCGGAAGUGAAAGAUUUUUAAAAACCUAGGCCAGGCUCGGUGGCAUAUACCUAUAAUCCUAGCACUUUGGGAGGCUGAGGAGAGCAGAUCACAUGAGGUCAGGAGUUUGAGACCAGUCUGGCCAACAUGGUGAAACCCCGUCUCAACUAAAAAUAAAAAAUAAAAAUAAAAAUAAAUUUUAAAAAAAUAGCUGGGUGUGGUGACGGGUGCCUGUAAUACCAGUUACUCUUGAGACUGAGGCAGGAGAAUCACUUGAACACGGGAGGCAGAGUUUUCAGUGAGCUGAGAUCGUGCCGCUGCACUCCAGCAUGGGUGACAGAGCAAGACUUUCUCUCAAAACAACAACAGCAACAAACUUCAGAGCGGGAACAAGAAGAAGUACACUUGGAAGAGGGCCGGGGGCGACUUGAGAGAUCAGGUGCACUGUUUGACCUUUGACUUGGGGUUUUAUCUGUUUAUCUGUAUCUGUUGACACAGUUCCAGGGUUUUACAUCCCUUCUCCCCUGAUUCUUCCCUCGGGGUGGGCUGUCCACAUGUGCAGUGGUCUGCUAGCAGUUGGGCGGUGAGCAUGCAGUGUGUUUACUGGAGUUGUGCGCAUGCUCACUUGAGGCAUUCUUCCCCUACCAGGUGAAUGUCCCCAGAAGUUAAACUCCACCGUUUUGCCUCUUAGUGUGCAUGCUUGAGCCCACUCUCCCAACUCCUGAGAUCUUACUGGGAAGCUGCUGAUCACCAGUUUCAAGUUUUUUCUAUUAGGAGACUGCCUUUCCCUGGUGCAGGCUGUGACCCAUUAUUAGAGACAGUUUAACAAUCACCUGAUGGUUGGUGACAUUACUGGUGGGAGGGUGGGGGUUGAGCCCUCUCCUGUCCUGCUCAUGCCUAACUAGACAAUAGGAACUCACAUACUUUUGACAUGAGUUUAAAUUAGUGCAACAUCUUUGGAUAACAAAUUGUGAUGAUCUAUAAAGUUGGAAAUGUACACCCUCUACAAUCCAAGAGUUUCAUCCCUGGGUAUGUAAUUGACAGAAAUGCAUGUAUGGCUGGUUAUAGUGGCUCAUGGCUGUAAUCUCAGAACUUUAGGAGUCUGAGGCGGGAGGAUUGCUUGAUCCCAGGAGUUCGAAACCAGCCUGGGCAACAUGGCAAAAUCUCACCUCUACAAAAAGAUACAAAAAUUAGUCAGACAUAGUGGUGUGUGCCUGUAGUCUCAGCUGCUCAAGAGGCUGAGCGGGGAGGAGCAAUUGAACCUAGAAGUCCUAGCCUGCAAGGAGCUGUGACUGUGCCACUGCACCCCUGCCUGGGUGACACAGUAAGAUCCUGUCUCAAAAACAAAAACAAAAACAAGAAAAAGAAGAAGAAAUGCAUGCACAUAGAUGUCCAAGCCAGAAAAACAAACAAACCUGGAGACAAUGGGAAAUAAUUUAAAUGUCCAUCAACAGUAGAAUGUUGUAAAUAAAAUAUACAAUAAUGUGUAGGUAAAUUAUAGAAUAUUUUGAAAGUAAUUACAUGGUUCUAUUUCCUAAAUUUGGUAGAUCCUAUAACACAGGUGUUUGUUUCUCUUUCCAACUCCUCUAUCCCUUCCCUUGACCAGAAGUCAGAGGUGGACAAGCGCUUAAAAAUCAGGAACUCACCCCUCGGCUUCACAAACAAGGGGAUGAGGUAAGGAGACACGUGUCAAGGCUUCCCUUGACACCCUCCUCUUUGUUUGCAUAGGAUGCCCUCCUCUUUUCCUUCUCAGUACCCAUCUGUCAACAUCCUCUUCAUCUUCUAAGGCCCUUCCUCUGGAUCCUUAGAGAUCACCCUGGUCCAUCUAUCUGUUGAGAAAACUGAAGUUCAGAGAGGUUGAAGGAUGAGCUUAAGGCAUGCAGUCACUGAGAGGCAGCCUUGGCUCUCUGGAAUCUGUGCUCUGUUUAUCAGCAACAUCCAGGGCUAAUUUAUGUCUGUAGCCAUAGCACACUUGAAGACAGUUACUUAUAAACAGGAGGUGCUCAGUAAAUGCCACCCCCUCCCUCUGGGUCUUUACUGAGUUUAAACAAGAGCUUUAUAAAACUAUGGCUACUUCGAUGCUGCUAGCAUAGAAAAUGACUGGCAGAUGGCAGCAUUUAGCUUUCCCAGCUCUCAACUUUGCAAUUGCCAGUUUAAGGCGAGAAAAGUUGGUUUUUCUUUUCCAUUCUCCAAACUCUGCUUGUUGUCAGUGCCUGCCAAAUGCCCGCUGCUCCCAUUGGAAGCCUCAUCCUACCACCCACCUUGCUGAAAAAGCAUCUUGAGCAUCUGCAGAAGCUCGGGUUUAAGACCCGGUGGCAGGAGCGGGUACAUGGACACCCAAUGGGAAUAUGAACACUUUUUUUUUUUUUUUUGAGAUGGAGUCUCAAUCUGUCACCUAGGCUGGAGUAGAGUGGCGCAGUCUCAGCUCACUGCAACCUCUGCCUCGUGAGUUCAAGAGAUUCUUCUGCCUCAGCUCCCUGCGUAGCUGAGAUUACAAGCGCCAGCCACCAUGCCUGGCUAAUUUUUUGUAUUUUUAGUAGAGAUGAGGUUUCACCAUGUUGGCCAGGCUGGUCUCGAGCUCCCGACCUCAGGUGAUCCGCCCACCUUGGCCUCCCAGAGUGCUGGGAUUACAGGCGUGAGCGACCGUGCCCGGCCGAACAUGAAAGCUUUUCCUCUCCAUAGAGCCCAGUGAAAUGCUGAUUCCCACCACAGCCCUGGGAUACCAUGGGCUGCAAAUGCGUCUUAGGGCUCUGCUUUUUAGCUGGGGAAACACCUUGCCUGGGGAAACAGGCAAGGUGAUGAGCUCAAAUUCACAACAAGUUCAGAUUUUCUGACUUGCAACCCGUGCACUUUCCUGUGUUAGUUUUCUAAGGUGAAAUCUACCCUGAAGGCAUGUUCCAACUAUAUGUGUGGAAAGGAGGUCAGAAAGUUU
Molecule: long non-coding RNA, 4302 nt
Filed under: Papio anubis (olive baboon)
Lineage: Eukaryota; Metazoa; Chordata; Mammalia; Primates; Cercopithecidae
Description: lncRNA (ENSPANG00000037829.1)
Source: RNAcentral